CAACGAUAUUUUACGUGAUUUAAAUUAAAUCUAUCAUGUUAAACUUUAUUAUGCGAUUUAUUACGCGUAUUAUUAAUAAAUUAAUUAAUUAAUUUCAUAGAGUUUAGAGAUUUAAAAUUUUAAAUUUUGAAGAAAUUUAAAUUAUGUAUUUUUUUAUACAACGAUAUUUUACUUAAUUUAAAUUAAAUCUGUCAUGUUAAAUUUUAUUACGCGAUUUAUUACGUCUAUUAUUAAUAAAAUUAAAUUAAUUAAUUUCAUAGAGUUUAGAGGUUUAAAAUUUUAAAAUUUGAAGUUAUAAAAUUGAAAAUAAAUAUUAUAAGUUAAAAUUAAAAUUUAGAAUUUAAAAUAUUUUUGAUAAUGACGCAAUAUAAUUAACAAUUUAAAAUGUCGGUUUCGUAGAUUAUUUCGUGUUUUUUUUUAUUUUGAUUGAUUGUACCCUUUGCAUCUCCCUUUCUUAACUUGUGCUCUUCGCUUGUUUCCCAUCUCCCUUUGUCCCCAUCAUGCGCUCUUUGAAAAUUUUUUACUAUGAAAGAUGUGAAAAUGUCAUCGAUGUGACGCUCAAUACUCUUAUCGGAUGAGAACGAAGUUAUGAUUGAAUUAUUAAAAAAAAAAUUCAUAUACCCUUAUGUGGUUUCACACUUUUUCACUUUAGUAUCCUAUGAUUUAAAAUGUAUUAAGUUAGCCCAUGUGGUUUCGCACUUUCUCACUUAGUACCAUGUAGUUUAAAGUGUAUCAAGUUAGUAUCCUGUGAUUUUAUUUUUCUCUUUUUAUUAUUCAUUUUACUAAUUUUUUCGUUAAAUCAGUGACAAAGUUAAAGCUAAAGGAUACUAAACUGAAUAUUCGAUAAACCUAGAUAGGGUAUUUGAAGUUUUUUGUAUAUAAUUUAACGAAAUAUUAACGGAGGAAAAAAAAAUCAGUGACAAAUUUAAAAGUAAAGGGUACUAAAAUAAAUAUUCAAUAAACCUAGGUAGGGUAUCUGAAGUUUUUUGUAUAUAAUUUAACGAAAUAUUAACAGAGGAGCCGACGAAAAGAGAAAAAUGAAACCACAGGGUACUAACUUGAUACACUUUAAACCACAGGGUACUAAAGUGAGAAAGUGCGAAAUCCCAGGGGCUAACUUGAUACACUUUAAACCACAGGGUAUUAAAGUGAGAAAGUGUGAAACCACGAGAGGGUAUUUGAAAUUUUUCCUUAUAAAAAUCUAUGGACGUUAGUAAUAAUAACUGUGCUUUAGCAUUUUGGACAAAUGAUUUGGAUUCAACGAGUUACUAUUACUAGUGAACAAUAUCAUUAUAAGUCGAAGGACAGUGAGUCGUAUAUUAUCUCUCCUAAUUAAAUAUUAAAUAAUAAACUUCAAAUAUCAGCCUUGUAGUUUUACAUUAAUUACUGAAGAGAAUAAUAAAAAAAUAAAAAUAAAACCACGAGACACUAAAUUGAUACAUUUUAAACCACAGGUACUAAAUUAAUGCAUAUAUCGAACACGAGUUGAAAUUAGCUCGUUCUUAUUUAAUUUCGAACUCGUUUUGAGCCGAACACGAACUGGCUCGCAAUUCACAACCCUAGUUACGACCCACAGACAACUUAAAUAAACAAAAAAAUAAAAGUAAAAAAAUAAAGCUCUAAUCCCGAUGCGUUGACCGGUUGACCACAAAAUAGUCUUAAAAAUUAUAUCAUGCAACGCGUUUUCUGGUUGACAUUUACCAUGCAACGACACCAACCUCCCUUUCUCUCUCUUCUUUCUCUCUCCUCGUAGUAUUAUUUUUUUAUUUUUUUGGGUAAAAAUGUACGGAGAACCCCUUAACUUUUGAAUNGUAUUAUUAAUAAAAUUAAAUUAAUUAAUUUCAUAGAGUUUAGAGGUUUAAAAUUUUAAAAUUUGAAGUUAUAAAAUUGGAAAUAAAUAUUAUAAGUUAAAAUUAAAAUUUAGAAUUUAAAAUAUAAAAUUUAAAAUUUAAAACUUUAAAAUUUGAAAGUAUCAAAAUUUUAAAUUUUGAUAUCAAAAUUUAAAAUUAUAUAUAUAGAGAGAGAGAGAGAGAAUAAAGGAGGGUUUGGGGGGGAGGGGAGGGGGACACGUGUCACCCUAUAGGCCCCCCAAACCCUCCUUUAAUGUAGUAAGAAUAGAUUAUUAGGAUUUUCAAAUUAUUAAGAUUAUAUGUGAUAUUUGAUUAUUACGAUUGUAUGGAUAGAUUAUUAGGAUCUUUUUAAUUGUUAGGAUUGUAUGGAUAGAUGAUUAGAAUUUUCAGAUUGUUAAGAUUAUAUGUAAUUUGUUGAAAUAUUUAUAUAGUUGUUAGGAUUAUAGAAAAAAAUAAUAAACAAGUGAAAGGCGGUGAAUAAUUCACCGCUUUUUUGAGAAAUUAGGAAAGCGGUGAAGGCGGUGAACUAUUCACCGUCUUUAAGAGAUUAGUUUUUUAAAUAUAAUUUUGGCAAGGUUAUUUCGCAAAUAAUAAAAUUUUAAAAGGUUAUUUUAUAAAAAAGU
RNAcentral lists this long non-coding RNA (2473 nucleotides) under Ananas comosus (pineapple). RNAcentral describes it as "long non-coding RNA (ACOM_LNC020416)". The record is from RNAcentral. Lineage: Eukaryota; Viridiplantae; Streptophyta; Magnoliopsida; Poales; Bromeliaceae.